UUUUAGCAGAAUGUUACGAAGAAAUAAGACAGCUAAGAAGGAAAGAAGAAUUUGAUGCCCAAUGAAAGAAACACCUGAUGGAGAACACUGGAGAUCAGAAAAUCAUUCCAUAAUUGAGACUUCCAUUCCUCCUGCAUUAGUUUGGGCAAACCCUCAGCCGGACGAACGUGAAGUGCCCGUGCAGAGGGUGAACCAGCUGUGAGUGACCCACUGAUGCUGCAGUGGAGUCCCUGUUCUGAGUGCAUACCAUGUGAAAUGAGGCCAUGGGGAAUAGCUGCUGCUGUCAUCACACCACUCACUGCAUCACACUUCCACACCUUGUGUCUGCAGUACAAUGCCUGUGCUACCAUCUGGGCCCCUUAUACUGCAAUAAAGUAUCCCCUGAGCUUUCCUUUCUUCAGGCUGAACAACCCCAGCUCUCUCAGUCUAUUUUUGUGAGAGAGGCCCUCCAACUUUCUAACCAUCUUCACGGACAGCCUCUGGACUGCUUCGGUCGGUGCAGGUUCUUCUUCUAUUGAGGAUCCCAGAGAUGGAUGCAGCACCCCGGGUGGGGUCUCUCCAGAGCAGAGAGGCAGAGUCACCUCCCUUGACCUGCUGGCCACGCUGCUUUUGAUGCUUUUGGCUUUCUGGCCUGCAAGUGCACAUGGCCACGUCGUGUCCAGCCUCUCAUCCACCAACACCCCCAAGCCCUUCUCAGAUGGGCUGCUCUCAAUCCGUUCAUCCCCCAGCCUGUGUGGAUACCCACGGCUGCCCUGGCUCAGGUGCAACACCUUGUGCUUGUUCUGAUUAAACCUCAUGAGAUUCCCAUGGUCUCACUUCUUGAUCUUGUUCAGGCUCCUCCAGAUGGCAUCCCAUCCAUCAGGUGUGCCAACAGCACCCCUAAGCUUGGCACCAUCUUCAUGGAAAGUAAAUAACUUCAAUGUCCAUGGAGUCAAGAAGGAAUCACAUGAGUGGAACGUAUGUCAUUAUCACAGCCAUUAAAGAACUGUGAAGAAGGUUCAUACAUUUAUCUGCUUUUUCAAGAAACCUCAAGACAUUCCUUCUAAAUUUGAUUGACUGUUUUAAUUAUGUAUU
Molecule: long non-coding RNA, 1074 nt
Organism: Prinia subflava (tawny-flanked prinia)
Lineage: Eukaryota; Metazoa; Chordata; Aves; Passeriformes; Cisticolidae
Exons: 3
Source: RefSeq, a predicted model, not a curated record